UGGGGGAUAUUGCACAAUGGGCGAAAGCCUGAUGCAGCGACGCCGCGUGGGGGAUGAAGGCCUUCGGGUUGUAAACUUCUUUUGCUCUGAACAAGGCAUGCUAAUGGGUGUGUUGAGUGUAGGGGUUGAUUAGCGCCGGCUAACUACGUGCCAGCAGCCGCGGUAAUACGUAGGGCGCGAGCGUUGUCCGGUAUUAUUGGGCGUAAAGGGCUUGUAGGUGGCUGGUUGCGUCUGUCGUGAAAGCUCAUGGCUUAACUGUGGGUGUGCGGUGGGUACGGGCUGGCUUGAGUGCAGUAGGGGAGGCUGGAAUUACUGGUGUAGCGGGGGAAUGCGCAGAUAUCAGGAGGAAUACCGGUGGCGAAGGCGGGUCUCUGGGCUGUUACUGACACUGAGGAGCGAAAGCAUGGGGAGCGAACAGG
RNAcentral lists this ribosomal RNA (419 nucleotides) under bacterium. RNAcentral describes it as "partial 16S ribosomal RNA". It matches the Rfam family "Bacterial small subunit ribosomal RNA", at positions 355 to 776 of the family's 1533-position model. The record is from RNAcentral.